AAAUUUGAGCUAAACGAUCGAACCCCAGAGCUGACAACAAUGGGAAAUAGCAGUACCACAAUCAUUACCAAUAACGGUACUAUCAAUGCCACAUCAUUCCACACUAAAUCAGCCACUACCACUGUAGCUAAUGGCAGCAGAGACAACCUGUGCGCCUAUUACAGCACCAGAGAGAUAAACCUGAAUGAGAAAAUCAAGUUGCCCUCCCUCAGCCUCCCCUCUACCAAGGCUAUCCACUUCACCCCCGAUGAGAUUUAUUUUAUCACCGUGGUGAUAGAGGACAAUGCCUCCGCCAAACCCAUCAUCGAGAACUUCCAGCUCACUCCAAACAAGUCCUUCAUCGUUACUGCAAGCCAUAAGAUCGUUCUGCGGAAGAGUAGCCAUGACCACGAGUGGAUCGACGAUGACGGCAACAACCACAACACAGCUUGAGUCACUCUUGCACAGGUAAUUCUGUUGAACAGAAGAAGAGAAGGAGAGGUAGCAAAGAUUCCUCUAGCUUCCUUUACUUGUAGAGACACGUCUGAUCUUCAUGAGGAUGUUGCCAUUUCCCUUUCUGAGCUUGAAAAGAAAUUGUGCCAGCACUUCACAAGGAUAGAGACACGAGGGAAACUGGGCAGGAAAGUGCCAGUCCUGUUGACACCUACCAUGGUAGCAGCAAUGGACCUUCUUGUCCAGAAACGUAAAGUCUGCCAAGUUUCAAGUGAAAACAGGUACAUGUUUGCAAGGCCAGGUGCGUCAUCUUACUAUCGAGGUUUAGACUGCAUCAGUCAAUUUGCCAGUGACUGUGGGGCCAAAAAUCCUGCCACGUUAUCUUCAACAAGAGUUUGGAAACACAUUGCCACAUUAUCCAAAGUCCUUACUUUGAGUGAAACAGAGUUAGAUCAACUAGCAGACUUUCUUGGAGAUGAUAUAAGAGUGCAUCAACAGUACUGUCGGCUGGAAGAAGGCACGUUGCAGCUGGCUAAGAUCAGUAAGAUUUUAAUGGCAAUGGAGACAGGAAGGCUGUCAGAGUUUAAAGGCAUGAAACUGGAUGACAUCACGAUUGAUCCACAAGGUAUAGUCGGGUUCAGAUAAUGAAUAAUGAACGGUUCACACUGGGGGGGGGGGUUGAGUUUGUUCUUAUUUAUGAAUGUUGUCUAAUUAAAAUUUACAGUCCACUUCAACAUGACUGUGUUUUUUUUGUGUCUAGAUUUACCAUAAUCUAACAGGUAUAAUAAUAGCAGUUAUUCUGUGUAAGCAGUUGGUAGCAGUUUCAGAAAUUGGAAUCAAGUCGUAUGUAAUACAAGCUUUUUUGGGUACAUAGUGUGAGAAAAAGGGGACAGAGUCCCUUUAAGAAAUGGUGGUCAGGACAAAAAAAUGCAUAUCCCAGAAGCCCUGAGACCAAGAGUAGUGCGAGGCAGGGCUAGGCCUUCUACAGGGCUAGGCAGUUCUCUUGAGGUGUGGUUGUGGGGAGACACAACCAGAGAGAUCUGCUGUCUUCAGUGACCAGGAAGUACAUCGAGGCCUGAUUGUUUAACCAAGGCAUGGUUGUUAUCGUAUAAAUUUGAGCUAAACGAUCGAACCCCAGAGCUGACAACAAUGGGAAAUAGCAGUACCACAAUCAUUACCAAUAACGGUACUAUCAAUGCCACAUCAUUCCACACAAAAUCAGCCACUACCACUGUAGCUAAUGGCAGCAGAGAAAACCUGUGCGCCUAUUACAGCACCAGAGAGAUAAACCUGAAUGAGAAAAUCAAGUUGCCCUCCCUCAGCCUCCCCUCUACCAAGGCUAUCCACUUCACCCCCGAUGAGAUUUAUUUUAUCACCGUGGUGAUAGAGGACAAUGCCUCCGCCAAACCCAUCAUCGAGAACUUCCAGCUCACUCCAAACAAGUCCGUCAUCGUUACUGCAAGCCAUAAGAUCGUUCUGCGGAAGAGUAGCCAUGACCACGAGUGGAUCGACGAUGACGGCAACAACCACAACACAGCCUGAGUCAGAGAAGUGAUUCUGCUCUGCUGGGUUGUAUAGUGGCUGAAGAUUUGCUGAUUUUGAAUAAAAACUCUAUUUCUGCUCUUUUAACACAAAUCUAUGCAUGGGAACUUGUUGUAACCUUGUUAUAAUCAGUAGGAGUCAUUUUCUCUUAAGUGUUAUGCAUAUCAGAUGCGGACAAAACAAUCUCAAUGACUUAAUUGAAUCUUAAUUGAACUAAUAAUGUGUCUGAUCAGAGGUUGUUUAUUAUUUUUUCAGGUUCCGUUUAAAAUUCUAUAACAAGUAACUGUUUAUAAGCUGCACAAAAUUCAAAGUAAGACAAUUAUUAGUUAUAUUAAUCGUUCAAUAAGUGACUGAGAGCAGCUCAGUUGAAACAAAACCCAGCAGAGACAGAGAGAGACACGGGUCUGGAUUAUUUUCUGCACCUGCUCAAAAAAAUACACAGUGCAUAAAGAAACGCGUCAACUCUGACAAUGUACAGUACGUGUAACACCCCGAAGAGAUCAGAGCCUCAAUACCACACAUAAUACAAACUGUAAUGAAUGUACACACACCCUAAUAAACACAUUGUGUAUUAGUACAGACCCAAAAGAAAAUACAAGACAAACUACUCACUACAGCACAGCAGUUCAGGCCCACGAGUACUGAAACCUAGCCUGAGAUAAAGCCUCUGUAACCGGUUUAUCCCGUCCUUAGCUUGCCUGCAUGGUGAACAGCUUCAACUCUGAGGAGCUUAAAGCCGGGUCCACACCUGAGUGAUCAGUUCAACAAGAUUCACGCGUACAAGUUUUUAGUCUGUUUGUUUUUGUUUUUGUUUUUUUUGCACAGCUGAGUCGACACUGUUAUUGUUUUGUUUUUGUUUUUCUGAAACAGCCUCUACAGUAUUAAGUCAUUAUUUUUUUCUUUCUGGUCAACGUUAAUAAAUAAAAGCUGUUAUUGUUUUUUCAA
Molecule: long non-coding RNA, 2919 nt
Organism: Acipenser ruthenus (sterlet)
Lineage: Eukaryota; Metazoa; Chordata; Actinopteri; Acipenseriformes; Acipenseridae
Exons: 2
Source: RefSeq, a predicted model, not a curated record